Molecule: ribosomal RNA, 253 nt
Filed under: uncultured bacterium
Lineage: Bacteria
Description: partial 16S ribosomal RNA
Rfam family: Bacterial small subunit ribosomal RNA
Source: RNAcentral
UACGAAGGGGGCUAGCGUUGUUCGGAAUCACUGGGCGUAAAGCGCGUGUAGGCGGAUCGUUAAGUCGGGGGUGAAAUCCUGGAGCUCAACUCCAGAACUGCCUUUGAUACUGGAGAGCUCGAGUCCGGAAGAGGUGAGUGGAACUGCGAGUGUAGAGGUGAAAUUCGUAGAUAUUCGCAAGAACACCAGUGGCGAAGGCGGCUCACUGGUCCGGUACUGACGCUGAGGUGCGAAAGCGUGGGGAGCAAACAGG